RNAcentral lists this ribosomal RNA (301 nucleotides) under uncultured bacterium. Its description in RNAcentral is "partial 16S ribosomal RNA". It matches the Rfam family "Bacterial small subunit ribosomal RNA", at positions 509 to 807 of the family's 1533-position model. The record is from RNAcentral.
CAGCAGCCGCGGUAAUACAGAGGGUGCGAGCGUUAAUCGGAUUUACUGGGCGUAAAGCGUGCGUAGGCGGCUAAUUGAGUCGGAUGUGAAAUCCCCGAGCUUAACUUGGGAAUUGCAUUCGAUACUGGUUAGCUAGAGUGUGGGAGAGGAUGGUAGAAUUCCAGGUGUAGCGGUGAAAUGCGUAGAGAUCUGGAGGAAUACCGAUGGCGAAGGCAGCCAUCUGGCCUAACACUGACGCUGAGGUACGAAAGCAUGGGGAGCAAACAGGAUUAGAUACACCAGUAGUCCCUGUCUCUUAUAC